This 253-nucleotide ribosomal RNA is filed under the name uncultured bacterium. RNAcentral's name for it is "partial 16S ribosomal RNA". It matches the Rfam family "Bacterial small subunit ribosomal RNA", at positions 524 to 776 of the family's 1533-position model. The record is from RNAcentral.
UACGGAGGGAGCUAGCGUUGUUCGGAAUUACUGGGCGUAAAGCGCACGUAGGCGGCUUUGUAAGUUAGAGGUGAAAGCCCGGAGCUCAACUCCGGAACUGCCUUUAAGACUGCAUCGCUUGAAUCCGGGAGAGGUGAGUGGAAUUCCGAGUGUAGAGGUGAAAUUCGUAGAUAUUCGGAAGAACACCAGUGGCGAAGGCGGCAUCCUGGACCGGCAUUGACGCUGAGGCGCGAAAGCCAGGGGAGCAAACGGG